GCUGGGCGCCGUGCAGCUUGCCUGUAAUCUCAGCCGUCUGGGAGGCUGAGGCAGGAGGAUCAUGAGUUCAAAUCCAGCCUCAGCAAAAGUGAGGCACUAAGCAACUCAUUGAGACCCUGUCUCUA
This 125-nucleotide small RNA is filed under the name Marmota monax (woodchuck). Lineage: Eukaryota; Metazoa; Chordata; Mammalia; Rodentia; Sciuridae. The record is from RNAcentral.